UAGUACUUUCGUCUCAAACAAAACUAGGCAAAAAAACGCUAGUGUUUAGUUAGUUCCAGCGAUAUUAAUAAUUAAUGUGGUCGUAUCCGGCGACGGUGAGACAAAUAGCCGUAACUGGCGGCGUUUUUGUCGUCGGUGCUUCGUUGUUCGGCGCCGGAGCUUAUCUCUCAUAUGUCAACGUUGCUCCUCAGCAGGCUCGCGCUAAAGAACGCAGUGAAGCAAUGAGGAAUUAUCUCAGAAAGCGUCUCGGUGAUUGAUGCGGAUCAGUACUAUUUCAUAGUGGAUAAUUGAAGAUAUGAAUUCUGCUAAUUCUUUAGUGAAGGAUUUUUAUAUUUUGUAUCUAGAAUUUGUUUUAGUUAUGUUUAUGAUAGUGGAUAUGUAAUGUAACCACUUACCAGUAGGGUAUGGUUUCAUAGUUAUUAGUUUAAACUUAAAUAAGAUUAGAGAAAGCUUUCUGGCACAUGUAUAGUUUAUGUUGAUGCUAUAAAGCUUGAAUUUUUUCUGGUGCACUUUUACAUGUUUUUAGCUAUGAAACACGAGCACAAACACGAUACUGACAUGUCGACCCCUAUAAUAAUUUACAAAAAUGAAUUGAUUGAAUGUGACAAGUUUCGUGUCAGUGUGGACAUUGACACAUCUUGAACACCAAAUAAACCCUCAAUUAGAAAUGUGAAUGCUACAUAGUUUUAUAAGCAUGCGAUAUAUAUAAGCAUGUUGAUUUCGAGGGUCUAUUAUCUCUUUGUUAGUAAGUAAAAUUAACACAAAUUUUAAAAAAUGAAAAUAGAAAACAUUUUGAUAAAGCAAAUAGGGCCAUAGUUUUCCAGAAACAAAACUAAAUUGGUAACGGGGGAAACUAUCAAACAACUAAACAAAACAUAUCAACCAAAAAUAUGAUUGCAUGUUCCAUCUUUGUAGCUAAACUGCAUAGUUCUGUAAAAUCUAUAACUUGUUGGGGCAUUAUUAUCUCUUUCAUUGUUAUUGCUUAGUUGUUGACUCUGUUGCUCAGUCCCAAUCCUAGAGUACUACGUUGUUUAAACAUCGUCAUGAUAAGUACACAUCUUCAUUACCCUUUACCACCUUUUCUUCUUGAACUUCUAUUCCAAGGCCUAAACUAUAAUUUGCACAAUACCCACUUUUCACAAUGUUCAAAACAACACAAAUAAGCUUUCUUUGUCUCCUCUCAAACUUCUUUACAUAUGAUCCACUGAAAACUUCAAAUUCUCAACAACAAAACUCAGAAAAAAGUGUAACAGAAUGUCAUGCUUAUGAAGAAGCAGAUAGGUCAGGUCACAGCCAUUGGAGAUUAACAUUAGUGAACAGGCUGCUAAGUUUAAGAUUGGUUUGUAUUUUGGUGGGCUUUGAAUGUGGUGUUCAAUAUUUACAACAAGAAAGUUUUGAAUGCUUUUCCUUAUCCAUGGCUUACUUCAACUUUGUCCCUUGCUGCUGGUUCUCUCACCAUGUUAAUCUCAUGGGCUACAAGGGUUGCUGAGGCUCCUAAAGUUAAUUUGGACUUUUGUAAUGAAGGCCUUGUUUCCUGUUGCGGUGGCACAUACAAUUGGGCAUGUUGCAGCUACUGUGAGUAUGUUCAAAGUUGCAGUUUCAUUUACACACAUCAUCAAAAGUGGAGAACCUGCUUUCAGUGUUCUGGUAUCAAAGUUCUUGCUUGAGGAAGCAUUCCCUAUCCAGGUUUACCUUUCACAUACCAAUCAUUGGAGGUUGUGCACUUGCUGCUGUCCCUGAGCUUAAUUUCAAUAUGAUUGGGUUUAUGGGGGCUAUGAUAUCCAACGUGACCUUUGUGUUUAGGAAUAUAUUCUCGAAGAAGGGAAUGAAAGGGAUGUCUGUUAGUGGUUUCUUUUGUUUUGAAUCAAAGUAGGUCGUGACUGUUGUAUUUUUGUUUAGUAGGUCGGGGGAAGCUAGCUACUGCUUAUACGACAGCUCUGCUUCCUCGUCUUGCGAAUGAACUACUAUGCUUGCCUCUCCAUAUUAUUUCUAUUGCUGUGGAAGGCCCAAAGAUGUGGGCUGCUGGCUGGAAAGCAGCAGUGUCUCAGAUUGGUCCCAAUUUUAUCUGGUGGGUAGCUGCACAAAGUGUGUUCUACCACUUGUACAAUCAAGUCUCUUUUAAGUCUCUUGAUCAGAUUUCUCCAUUAACAUUUAGCAUAGGGAUUACAAUGAAGAGAAUCUCGGUUAUUGUCUC
Long non-coding RNA from Trifolium pratense (red clover), 2194 nucleotides. RefSeq lists it as uncharacterized. NCBI's taxonomy places the organism in Eukaryota, Viridiplantae, Streptophyta, Magnoliopsida, Fabales, Fabaceae. The record is from RefSeq and is a predicted model, not a curated record. The transcript has 5 exons.